UACAGAGGGGGCAAGCGUUGUUCGGAAUUACUGGGCGUAAAGGGCGCGUAGGCGGCCUUCUAAGUCGAACGUGAAAUCCCCGGGCUCAACCCGGGAACUGCGUCCGAGACUGGAAGGCUCGAAUCCGGGAGAGGGAUGUGGAAUUCCAGGUGUAGCGGUGAAAUGCGUAGAUAUCAGGAGGAACACCGGUGGCGAAGGCGGGUCUCUGGGCCGAUACUGACGCUGAGGAGCGAAAGCGUGGGGAGCGAACAGG
RNAcentral lists this ribosomal RNA (253 nucleotides) under uncultured bacterium. RNAcentral describes it as "partial 16S ribosomal RNA". It matches the Rfam family "Bacterial small subunit ribosomal RNA", at positions 524 to 776 of the family's 1533-position model. The record is from RNAcentral.